CCGACGGUGAGAGGCGAAAGCUGGGGGAGCAAACCGGAUUAGAUACCCGGGUAGUCCCAGCUGUAAACGAUGCGCGUUAGGUGUGUCAGUGACCACGUGUCACUGAUGUGCCGAAGGGAAACCGUGAAACGCGCCGCCUGGGGAGUACGGUCGCAAGGCUGAAACUUAAAGGAAUUGGCGGGGGAGCACCAUAACGGGUGGAGCCUGCGGUUUAAUCGGACUCAACGCCGGAAAUCUCACCGGAUAA
RNAcentral lists this ribosomal RNA (247 nucleotides) under uncultured archaeon. Its description in RNAcentral is "partial 16S ribosomal RNA". It matches the Rfam family "Archaeal small subunit ribosomal RNA", at positions 691 to 937 of the family's 1478-position model. The record is from RNAcentral.